UAGGGAAUCUUCCGCAAUGGACGAAAGUCUGACGGAGCAACGCCGCGUGAGUGAAGAAGGAUUUCGGUUCGUAAAACUCUGUUGUUAGGGAAGAAAAAAUGUAUAGUAACUAUAUACAAAAGAGACGGUACCUAACCAGAAAGCCACGGCUAACUACGUGCCAGCAGCCGCGGUAAUACGUAGGUGGCAAGCGUUGUCCGGAAUUAUUGGGCGUAAAGCGAGCGCAGGCGGUUAGAAAAGUCUGAAGUGAAAGGCAGUGGCUCAACCAUUGUAGGCUUUGGAAACUGUUUAACUUGAGUGCAGAAGGGGAGAGUGGAGUUCCAUGUGUAGCGGUGAAAUGCGUAGAUAUAUGGAGGAACACCGGUGGCGAAAGCGGCUCUCUGGUCUGUAACUGACGCUGAGGCUCGAAAGCGUGGGGAGCGAACAGG
This 428-nucleotide ribosomal RNA is filed under the name Verrucomicrobiota bacterium. RNAcentral describes it as "Verrucomicrobia bacterium partial 16S ribosomal RNA". It matches the Rfam family "Bacterial small subunit ribosomal RNA", at positions 355 to 776 of the family's 1533-position model. Lineage: Bacteria; Pseudomonadati; Verrucomicrobiota. The record is from RNAcentral.